Molecule: ribosomal RNA, 520 nt
Filed under: Pseudomonas aeruginosa
Lineage: Bacteria; Pseudomonadati; Pseudomonadota; Gammaproteobacteria; Pseudomonadales; Pseudomonadaceae
Description: bacterial SSU rRNA
Rfam family: Bacterial small subunit ribosomal RNA
Source: RNAcentral
GACCGCCUGGGGAGUACGGCCGCAAGGUUAAAACUCAAAUGAAUUGACGGGGGCCCGCACAAGCGGUGGAGCAUGUGGUUUAAUUCGAUGCAACGCGAAGAACCUUACCUGGUCUUGACAUCCACAGAACUUUCCAGAGAUGGAUUGGUGCCUUCGGGAACUGUGAGACAGGUGCUGCAUGGCUGUCGUCAGCUCGUGUUGUGAAAUGUUGGGUUAAGUCCCGCAACGAGCGCAACCCUUAUCCUUUGUUGCCAGCGGUCCGGCCGGGAACUCAAAGGAGACUGCCAGUGAUAAACUGGAGGAAGGUGGGGAUGACGUCAAGUCAUCAUGGCCCUUACGACCAGGGCUACACACGUGCUACAAUGGCAUAUACAAAGAGAAGCGACCUCGCGAGAGCAAGCGGACCUCAUAAAGUAUGUCGUAGUCCGGAUUGGAGUCUGCAACUCGACUCCAUGAAGUCGGAAUCGCUAGUAAUCGUAGAUCAGAAUGCUACGGUGAAUACGUUCCCGGGCCUUGUACA